CGGCUGUAGCAAAAAUGAGCUUGCGGAAGCAAACUGGUCGGCUGUUGUUCAAACUCAUCAACAUCCUGCUUACCGAACUUCUGACAUUC
This is a small nucleolar RNA of Nymphaea colorata (pocket water lily), 89 nucleotides long. RefSeq annotates it as small nucleolar RNA snoR109. Lineage: Eukaryota; Viridiplantae; Streptophyta; Magnoliopsida; Nymphaeales; Nymphaeaceae. The transcript has a single exon. The record is from RefSeq and is a predicted model, not a curated record.